This is a non-coding RNA of Equus caballus (horse), 1851 nucleotides long. The record is from RefSeq and is a predicted model, not a curated record. NCBI's taxonomy places the organism in Eukaryota, Metazoa, Chordata, Mammalia, Perissodactyla, Equidae.
GGUGCUUUGGGACGCUCUGUGCGCCUGGGCAUUGUUGUCAGGCGGGGAACAUGGCCGCGCCCAGGUCGCGCUUCCCCACGGGGUGCGCCAUGUUGGAGGAGUGUUCGUUCCGUACCGAGAAUGAGGAAACCUCUACACUCGCAGAGCGGAGCGGUGGAGCUGUCUCACAGAACCUGAGGGGACUUUUCUUAGAUCUUCACCUUGAGAACCUGAUUUGGUUCCUGUAAGCAAAAUCCAUGAAAAUGUGAAGCCUUCCCAAGACUGGACCCCCAGAAGUUUCUUCCUCUCAAGCUAAUCCAUACUCAGCCUCCAGCAAUUUGUCAAAAUUACCAGUGAAUGUCCUACGACCUUAUGACUCCAAUGGCUUCUGCUCCAGGUAAGGUAAGCUGAUCUUGGCUGUGAUUCUCUGUAUUUGCUUGUCUCUCCAGAUUUGGGGGUGACAGUUUGCCCUAUAAUCUCAAUUCUCUGUAGAGUCUAUGAGAAGUCAUUGAUUUUUAGUUUGUUCAGCUUCUUUCUUGUUGUAAGGAUGACAGUGACAACUUCUAAGCUCUUAAUAUGUCAGAGCUGAAACUGGAAGUCUGUAUGCACUUUUCAAAACUCAUCAAAUGGUGCAUUUUCCUGUAUGUAAAUUUUUCUUUACAAAUGUAAACAAAUACUGAACUCUAGUUUAUGAUAUGCAUGUUGAAGUUUUUAGGGGUCAUGUGUGCUGAUGACUGUAACAUAUAUUGAAAUGCAUCAAAAAAAGAAAAUGACUUGAUGAGUGGAGAAAAGGAUGCAUAAAUGGAUAGAUAUGAGAUAAAACAAAUAUAAUAAAGUGUGUUUUUUGUGCAUGCUCACUUUAAAAUUCUUUCAACUUUUCUUUAUGUCUGGAAAUGUUAUAAUAAAAUGUUAGAAUGAAUGUAUCAUACUAUAUAUAAUUGUUUGCGAUUUAUAUUUUUUCACAUAACAUUCCUCAUAUUGUUGGGUAUCAAUGUUGUUUCUUCAUUUUAAUGCCUUUGGUGAGCAUCUGAUUUGUUUCUGGGCUUUGUGUUGUGAACAGGCUUUCAUGAAUGUCCUUUUACAUCUUUUCUGGGGCACGUGGGCAAGAGGGUCUCUUGGGGAUAAUCCUAGGAGUGGACUCACUGUGUGGUGAGGGAUGGAAAUGUCCAAUUGUAGAAGGGAAUGCCAAACUGUUUUUCAAAAUGGUUUCACUAAUUUACACUCCCACCAACAGUGUAUAAGAGAUCUUAUAAAGCCACACUUUCGCCAACAUUUAGGCUUGCCCAACUGCUUUAUUUUUGCCAAACCAAAGGGUGUAAGAUGAUAUCUCAUUGUGGUCUCAAUGUGCAUUUCCCUAACCACUAAUAAUUUGCUAAUUACUUUGUGAAUUUCUGUUUUAACUUUUACUUACUUCCUUUGUGGAUAUUUUGUUUUCCUUUCCUACAGACUGUACUAAAAUAUUAAAUAAUUGGCUUCAGUCUUUCUUGUUUAGUAAUAAAUUCAUUUUAUGAUAUAAAUCAUCUUAAGUAUAUCACUUUUCCCAUCGCAUAGGUGUUAUGUGUAGUGCUCUCAUGCUCUCAUAGUUCUAAGUAGUUGAUAAUCCAUUUUAAUUUCCUCCUUAACCCCAAUAUUAAUUAUAUGUGAGUGCUUUUACUAUCCAGGCAUUUGAAGUUUUUGUUGUCUCUUUGUUUUUAUCUCCAUUUUUAUUGCAUUGUGGUUUGCGAAUAUGGCCUGUGUGAUAUCACUUUGAAAGAUUUAUUAUUUCCUUUGUGACCUAGUGCAAGAAUUUCUCAGAAUGUUACAUUUUAUGUGUAAAACAUGUACAUUCUCUGUUGAGUACAGAAUAAAGAUUGAAAGUAGAUAUAUAAAAUA